UACACGUGUUUGUCGUUAGCCGUCAAAAAAAGUGAUCGCGGCAGUUGAAGCAGGUGAAAAAAAAAAGAUGUUGCUCUACGUUUUGGUAUCCCAGCUUCUACGCUUUCAACGAUACUUAAAUAAAAGGGCCAUCUUAAACAUUAACACCUUUCUAAUCGAGGACGAGACAGAAAAAAUGAUAAAAGUAUACUAAAGAAUCAAAAGGCCUGACGAUGCACCGUGGAAUGAAUCAAUAAUCAAGCAAAAAACAUGAUAUAAGUGAAUGUUAAAUAAACUUACUUGGACGUUGAA
Rhopalosiphum padi (bird cherry-oat aphid) is the source of this 291-nucleotide long non-coding RNA. RefSeq lists it as uncharacterized. The record is from RefSeq and is a predicted model, not a curated record. Lineage: Eukaryota; Metazoa; Arthropoda; Insecta; Hemiptera; Aphididae. The transcript is spliced from 2 exons.